GACGAACGCUGGCGGCGUGCUUAACACAUGCAAGUCGAACGGAAAGGCCCUGCUUUUGUGGGGUGCUCGAGUGGCGAACGGGUGAGUAACACGUGAGUAACCUGCCCUUGACUUUGGGAUAACUUCAGGAAACUGGGGCUAAUACCGGAUAGGAGCUCCUGCUGCAUGGUGGGGGUUGGAAAGUUUCGGCGGUUGGGGAUGGACUCGCGGCUUAUCAGCUUGUUGGUGGGGUAGUGGCUUACCAAGGCUUUGACGGGUAGCCGGCCUGAGAGGGUGACCGGCAACAUUGGGACUGAGAUACGGCCCAGACGCCUACGGGAGGCAGCAGUGGGGAAUAUUGCACAAUGGGCGGAAGCCUGAUGCAGCAACGCCGCGUGCGGGAUGACGGCCUUCGGGUUGUAAACCGCUUUCGCCUGUGACGAAGCGUGAGUGACGGUAAUGGGUAAAGAAGCACCGGCUAACUACGU
RNAcentral lists this ribosomal RNA (467 nucleotides) under uncultured bacterium. RNAcentral describes it as "partial 16S ribosomal RNA". It matches the Rfam family "Bacterial small subunit ribosomal RNA", at positions 28 to 506 of the family's 1533-position model. The record is from RNAcentral.